RNAcentral lists this unclassified non-coding RNA (20 nucleotides) under Escherichia coli. RNAcentral's name for it is "RNA (5'-R(*GP*UP*CP*CP*AP*GP*CP*GP*UP*CP*AP*UP*CP*GP*CP*UP*GP*GP*AP*C)-3') from Escherichia coli (PDB 8HRB, chain V)". The record is from RNAcentral. Lineage: Bacteria; Pseudomonadati; Pseudomonadota; Gammaproteobacteria; Enterobacterales; Enterobacteriaceae.
GUCCAGCGUCAUCGCUGGAC